RNAcentral lists this long non-coding RNA (2604 nucleotides) under Serinus canaria (Common canary). RNAcentral's name for it is "lncRNA (ENSSCAG00000006960.1)". The record is from RNAcentral. Lineage: Eukaryota; Metazoa; Chordata; Aves; Passeriformes; Fringillidae.
CAGGCCGUGGGACAGCUGUGGCCUGGGGACACCCUGAGCCUGGAGCUGGUCGGGGACACGGUUGGGGACAGCGCCGGGGACGCGGGCGGGUGGCAGCUGGAGCAGGAGGAGCGCGAGGGGAACUUCGUGGGGCUGCUGCGGAUCGCGGGAGGGUGACACCGGGUGGUGGCACCGGGUGGUGGCACCGGGUGGUGACACCGGGUGGUGGCAUCGGGUGGUGGCACCGGGUGGUGACGCCGGGGUGGCGAGGGGGUGGCGAGGGGGUGGCCGGCCUCGUGUCCUGCCGGUCACCUGCCGGGGUGGGGCUUGGGGACAUCUGGGAGUCCCGAGUGUGGAGGUUUGGGGACAUCAGGGGACAUCGGUGACAUCCAGACCCAGAGAUUUGGGGACAUCAGGGGACAUCGGUGACAUCCAGACCUGAAGGUUUGGGGACAUCGAGGGACGUCGGUGACGUCCAGCCCCGAAGGUUUGGGGACAAGGGACAUCGGUGACAUCCAAGGCUGGAGAUUUGAGUGACAACAUCUCGGUGUCCAGAGAUUUGGGGACAUCAGGUGACAUCGGUGACCUCCACACCCAGAAAUUGGGGACAUCAAGGGACAUUGGCGACAUCCAGACCCAGAGAUUUGGGGACAUCAGGGGACAUCGGUGACAUCCAAGGCUGGAGAUCUGGGUGACAGAACCUUGUCCCCAGAGAUUGGGGACAUCGAGUGACAUCACUGACCCCUCCCCCAUUUGGUGCUUGGGGACAUUUGGGGACCUCAUGGACCCGGUGCUGGACACUUGGGGACAUUUGGGGACAUUUGGGGACCCAGUGCUGGACACUUGGGACCUCCUUGGGGACCUUGGGGACACUUUUGGGAGGGAGGUCCCUGCUGUCCUUAAUUAUUCUUUUUCUUCAUUAAUUAUUUAUUAAUGAUUCUCCUUAAUUAAUUAUUUAUUAAUUAAUGAAUAAAUUUAUUUAUGGAUUCUUUUUACCGCCUGGAUUGUCCCCAAAAAUCGGGGGUGACAACCCUGGGGUGGCACUGAGGGGACAUCGGGGGGUCCCCACCUGCAAACCCUCCCCCAAAUUUAACCCCAGAACCCCCAAAAAUUUGCCCCAGAAACUCCAAAAUUUGCUGAAAAUCCCCCCAAAUUUGCCCCAAACCCCCAAAUUUAUCCCCAGAACCCCCCAAAAUUUGCUGAAGAUCCCCCAAAAUUUGUCUUGGAGUCCCCCAAAUUUAACCCCAGAAGCCCCAGAUUUGCCCCAGGGUGUGGGGACUCAAAACUCUGCACCCCAAAUUCUGCACCCCAAAUUCUGCACCCCAAACUCUGCACCCCAAACCCUCCACCCCACACUUCCCACCCCAAAAUUUCGCAACCCAAAUUCAGCACCCCAAAUUUUGCACCUCAAUCCCCACACCCCAAACUCUGCACCCCACAUUUCCCACCCCAGAUUUUUCACCCCAAAUUCUGCACCCCAAAUUCUGCCCCCCACAUUUCCCACCCCAAAUUCUGCACCUGGGGCAAUUUUUGGGGGGAAUCUGGGGCAGAUUUUGGGGAUCACAGGGUUAAAUUUGGGGGGACUCUGGGGCAAUUUUCGGGGUCUCGGGCAAGUUUGGGGGUGAUGGGGCAAAUUUUAGGACUUGGGGGAAAAUUUAGGGGGGAUCUGGGGCAAAUUUGGGGUCUCUGGGUCAAAAUUUGGCUGUGGCAAAUCUGGGGUGCCGAAUUUGGGGUCCUUGACUGUUAUGUGUCCCCAUGUCCCCUCUGUUGUCCCCAUGUCCCUUAUGGUGUCCCCAUGCCCCCUCUGAUGUCCCCAUGUCCCCAUGGUGUCCCCCAUGAGCCCUGUGGUGUCCCCAUGUCCCCUCUGAUGUCCCCAUGUCCCCUCUGGUAUCCCCAUGUCCCUUAUCAUGUCCCCAUGUCUCUUAUGGUGUCCCCACGUCCCUUGCGAUGUCCCCAUGUCCCUUGUGAGUGUCCCCCCAUCCCCUACAGAUUCCCCACGUCCCCUCUGAAGCCCCCAUGUCCCCUGUGGUGUCCCCACGUCCCCUCUGAAGUCCCCAUGUCCCCUCUGAAAUCCCCAUGUCCCCUCUGAGGUCCCCAUGACCCCUCUGAUGUCCCUGUGUCCCCUCUGGUGUCCCCAUGUCCCUUAUGGUGUCCCCAUGUCCCCUCUGGUGUCCCCAUGUCCCCUCUGAUGUCCCCAUGUCACCUCUGAUGUCCCCAUGUCCCUUAUGGUGUCCCCAUGAUACCCAUGGUGUCCCCAUGCCCCCUCUGAUGUCCCCAUGCCCCCUCUGAUGUCCCUAUGUCCCCUGUGGUGUCCCCAUGCCCCCUCUGAUGUCCCCAUGCCCCCUGUGGUGUCCCCAUGUCCAUUAUGGUGUCCCCAUGACCCCUCUGAUGUCCCCAUGUCCCCUCUGGUGUCCCCAUGUCCCCUGUGGUAUCCCCAUGUCCCCUCUGAUGUCCCCAUGUCCCCCAUGGUGUCCCCAUGUCCCCUCUGGUGUCCCCAUGUCCCUUAUGGUGUCCCCAUGUCCCCUGUGAUGUCCCCACUGCCCCCACACGUCCCCCCCUCCAAGGACACCAAGGCCAAUUGCUCAGAAAUGACUUUUUUAACCAAAAAAACCCCAAAAAACCCAA